Molecule: ribosomal RNA, 1499 nt
Filed under: metagenome
Description: bacterial SSU rRNA
Rfam family: Bacterial small subunit ribosomal RNA
Source: RNAcentral
AGAGUUUGAUCAUGGCUCAGAUUGAACGCUGGCGGCAGGCCUAACACAUGCAAGUCGAACGGUAACAGGAAACAGCUUGCUGUUUCGCUGACGAGUGGCGGACGGGUGAGUAAUGUCUGGGAAACUGCCUGAUGGAGGGGGAUAACUACUGGAAACGGUAGCUAAUACCGCAUAACGUCGCAAGACCAAGGAGGGGGACCCUCGGGCCUCUUGCCAUCGGAUGUGCCCAGAUGGGAUUAGCUUGUUGGUGGGGUAACGGCUCACCAAGGCGACGAUCCCUAGCUGGUCUGAGAGGAUGACCAGCCACACUGGAACUGAGACACGGUCCAGACUCCUACGGGAGGCAGCAGUGGGGAAUAUUGCACAAUGGGCGCAAGCCUGAUGCAGCCAUGCCGCGUGUAUGAAGAAGGCCUUCGGGUUGUAAAGUACUUUCAGCGGGGAGGAAGGGAGUAAAGUUAAUACCUUUGCUCAUUGACGUUACCCGCAGAAGAAGCACCGGCUAACUCCGUGCCAGCAGCCGCGGUAAUACGGAGGGUGCAAGCGUUAAUCGGAAUUACUGGGCGUAAAGCGCACGCAGGCGGUUUGUUAAGUCAGAUGUGAAAUCCCCGGGCUCAACCUGGGAACUGCAUCUGAUACUGGCAAGCUUGAGUCUCGUAGAGGGGGGUAGAAUUCCAGGUGUAGCGGUGAAAUGCGUAGAGAUCUGGAGGAAUACCGGUGGCGAAGGCGGCCCCCUGGACGAAGACUGACGCUCAGGUGCGAAAGCGUGGGGAGCAAACAGGAUUAGAUACCCUGGUAGUCCACGCCGUAAACGAUGUCGACUUGGAGGUUGUGCCCUUGAGGCGUGGCUUCCGGAGCUAACGCGUCAAGUCGACCGCCUGGGGAGUACGGCCGCAAGGUUAAACUCAAAUGAAUUGACGGGGGCCCGCACAAGCGGUGGAGCAUGUGGUUUAAUUCGAUGCAACGCGAAGAACCUUACCUGGUCUUGACAUCCACGGAAGUUUUCAGAGAUGAGAAUGUGCCUUCGGGAACCGUGAGACAGGUGCUGCAUGGCUGUCGUCAGCUCGUGUUGUGAAAUGUUGGGUUAAGUCCCGCAACGAGCGCAACCCUUAUCCUUUGUUGCCAGCGGUCCGGCCGGGAACUCAAAGGAGACUGCCAGUGAUAAACUGGAGGAAGGUGGGGAUGACGUCAAGUCAUCAUGGCCCUUACGACCAGGGCUACACACGUGCUACAAUGGCGCAUACAAAGAGAAGCGACCUCGCGAGAGCAAGCGGACCUCAUAAAGUGCGUCGUAGUCCGGAUUGGAGUCUGCAACUCGACUCCAUGAAGUCGGAAUCGCUAGUAAUCGUGGAUCAGAAUGCCACGGUGAAUACGUUCCCGGGCCUUGUACACACCGCCCGUCACACCAUGGGAGUGGGUUGCAAAAGAAGUAGGUAGCUUAACCUUCGGGAGGGCGCUUACCACUUUGUGAUUCAUGACUGGGGUGAAGUCGUAACAAGGUA